Molecule: ribosomal RNA, 95 nt
Filed under: Uredo baruensis
Lineage: Eukaryota; Fungi; Basidiomycota; Pucciniomycetes; Pucciniales
Description: partial 5.8S ribosomal RNA
Rfam family: 5.8S ribosomal RNA
About the family: 5.8S ribosomal RNA (5.8S rRNA) is a component of the large subunit of the eukaryotic ribosome. It is transcribed by RNA polymerase I as part of the 45S precursor that also contains 18S and 28S rRNA.
Source: RNAcentral
UAUGUGAAUCGCAGAAUUCAGUGAAUCAUCGAAUCUUUGAACGCACCUUGCACCUUUUGGUAUUCCAAAAGGUACACCUGUUUGAGUGUCAUGAA